RNAcentral lists this ribosomal RNA (367 nucleotides) under uncultured bacterium. RNAcentral describes it as "bacterial SSU rRNA". It matches the Rfam family "Bacterial small subunit ribosomal RNA", at positions 1 to 334 of the family's 1533-position model. The record is from RNAcentral.
CUACGUAGCUCAGAGUUUGAUCCUGGCUCAGGACGAACGCUGGCGGCGUGCCUAACACAUGCAAGUCGAACGGAGAUAGGCGCUGAUUUGAUGGUAGCUUGCUACUGGAUUUUCUUGUCUAUCUUAGUGGCGGACGGGUGAGUAACGCGUGAGCAACCUGCCUUUCAGAGGGGGAUAACGUUCGGAAACGAACGCUAAUACCGCAUAAAACAGCAGUACGGCAUCGUACAACUGUCAAAGGAGCAAUCCGCUGAAAGAUGGGCUCGCGUCCGAUUAGUUAGUUGGUGAGGUAACGGCUCACCAAGACGAUGAUCGGUAGCCGGACUGAGAGGUUGAACGGCCACAUUGGGACUGAGACACGGCCCAG